This 1100-nucleotide ribosomal RNA is filed under the name Sordariomycetes sp. genotype 499. RNAcentral describes it as "eukaryotic LSU rRNA". The stretch from base 518 to 1100 matches the Rfam family "Eukaryotic large subunit ribosomal RNA", at positions 1 to 592 of the family's 3401-position model. The record is from RNAcentral. RNAcentral also lists the same sequence under 1 other name. Lineage: Eukaryota; Fungi; Ascomycota; Sordariomycetes.
GGAUCAUUACCGAGUUUACACUCCCAAACCCCUGUGCACCUAUACCUCUACUGUUGCCUCGGCGGGCACGGCCGCGGACGCCCCCUCGCGGGGGCGCCGGGGCUAGGCGCCCGCCGGGGGACCAAAACCCUUCUGUAUUUUCUUACGCAUGUCUGAGUGGAUUGAAUAUCGAAUGAAUCAAAACUUUCAACAACGGAUCUCUUGGUUCUGGCAUCGAUGAAGAACGCAGCGAAAUGCGAUAAGUAAUGUGAAUUGCAGAAUUCAGUGAAUCAUCGAAUCUUUGAACGCACAUUGCGCCCGCCAGUAUUCUGGCGGGCAUGCCUGUUCGAGCGUCAUUUCAACCCUCAAGCCCGCUGCGCGCUUGGUGUUGGGGACCGGCUCGCCCGCCUCGCGGCGGCGGCCGCCCCUGAAAUGAAUCGGCGGUCUCGUCGCAGCCUCCUUUGCGUAGUAACACACCACCUCGCAACCGGGAGCGCGGCGCGGCCACUGCCGUAAAACGCCCAACUUCUCCAAGAGUUGACCUCGAAUCAGGUAGGACUACCCGCUGAACUUAAGCAUAUCAAUAAGCGGAGGAAAAGAAACCAACAGGGAUUGCCCCAGUAACGGCGAGUGAAGCGGCAACAGCUCAAAUUUGAAAUCUGGCCCCCCGGGGCCCGAGUUGUAAUUUGCAGAGGAUGCUUUUGGCGAGGCGCCUUCCGAGUUCCCUGGAACGGGACGCCACAGAGGGUGAGAGCCCCGUCUGGUCGGAUGCCGAGCCUCUGUAAAGCUCCUUCGACGAGUCGAGUAGUUUGGGAAUGCUGCUCUAAAUGGGAGGUAUAUGUCUUCUAAAGCUAAAUAUUGGCCAGAGACCGAUAGCGCACAAGUAGAGUGAUCGAAAGAUGAAAAGCACUUUGAAAAGAGGGUUAAAUAGUACGUGAAAUUGUUGAAAGGGAAGCGCUCAUGACCAGACUUGGGCCCGGUGAAUCAUCCAGCGUUCUCGCUGGUGCACUUUGCCGGGCUCAGGCCAGCAUCAGUUUGCCCCGGGGGAUAAAGGCUCUGGGAAUGUGGCUCCUCCGGGAGUGUUAUAGCCCUCUGCGCAAUGCCCUGGGGCGGACUGAGGU